Molecule: ribosomal RNA, 462 nt
Filed under: uncultured bacterium
Lineage: Bacteria
Description: partial 16S ribosomal RNA
Rfam family: Bacterial small subunit ribosomal RNA
Source: RNAcentral
GACGAACGCUGGCGGCGUGCUUAACACAUGCAAGUCGAACGGAAAGGCCUUUUCGGAGGUACUCGAGUGGCGAACGGGUGAGUAACACGUGGGUGUUCUGCCCUGCACUCUGGGAUAAGCCUGGGAAACUGGGUCUAAUACCGGAUAGGACCGCACUUUAGUGUGUGUGGUGGAAAGUUUUUUCGGUGUAGGAUGAGCCCGCGGCCUAUCAGCUUGUUGGUGGGGUAAUGGCCUACCAAGGCGGCGACGGGUAGCCGGACUGAGAGGUUGGUCGGCCACAUUGGGACUGAGAUACGGCCCAGACUCCUACGGGAGGCAGCAGUGGGGAAUAUUGCACAAUGGGCGCAAGCCUGAUGCAGCGACGCCGCGUGGGGGAUGACGGCCUUCGGGUUGUAAACUCCUUUCGCCAGGGACGAAGCGUUUUGUGACGGUACCUGGAGAAGAAGCACCGGCUAACUACGU